This 254-nucleotide ribosomal RNA is filed under the name uncultured bacterium. Its description in RNAcentral is "partial 16S ribosomal RNA". It matches the Rfam family "Bacterial small subunit ribosomal RNA", at positions 524 to 776 of the family's 1533-position model. The record is from RNAcentral.
UACGUAGGCAGCGAGCGUUGUUCGGAAUUACUGGGCGUAAAGAGUGUGUAGGCGGUGCUCUAAGUUCGGUGUGAAAUCUCCUGCUUAACUGGGGAGGGUGCGCCGGAAACUGGAGUGCUCGAGCGUGGGGAGAGGAAAGCGGAAUCCUGGUGUAGCGGUGAAAUGCGUAGAUAUCGGGAGGAACACCGGUGGCGAAGGCGGAUCUCUGGGCCGUAACUGGACGCUGAGGAGCGAAAGCAUGGGGAGCGAACAGG